This 557-nucleotide ribosomal RNA is filed under the name uncultured bacterium. RNAcentral's name for it is "bacterial SSU rRNA". It matches the Rfam family "Bacterial small subunit ribosomal RNA", at positions 102 to 694 of the family's 1533-position model. The record is from RNAcentral.
ACGGGUGAGUAACGCGUGGGAAUCUACCCAUCUCUACGGAAUAACGCAUGGAAACGUGUGCUAAUACCGUAUACGUCCUUCGGGAGAAAGAUUUAUCGGAGAUGGAUGAGCCCGCGUUGGAUUAGCUAGUUGGUGGGGUAAAGGCCUACCAAGGCGACGAUCCAUAGCUGGUCUGAGAGGAUGAUCAGCCACACUGGGACUGAGACACGGCCCAGACUCCUACGGGAGGCAGCAGUGGGGAAUAUUGGACAAUGGGCGCAAGCCUGAUCCAGCCAUGCCGCGUGAGUGAUGAAGGCCCUAGGGUUGUAAAGCUCUUUCACCGGUGAAGAUAAUGACGGUAACCGGAGAAGAAGCCCCGGCUAACUUCGUGCCAGCAGCCGCGGUAAUACGAAGGGGGCUAGCGUUGUUCGGAUUUACUGGGCGUAAAGCGCACGUAGGCGGACUGUUAAGUCAGGGGUGAAAUCCCGGGGCUCAACCCCGGAACUGCCUUUGAUACUGGUAGUCUUGAGUUCGAGAGAGGUGAGUGGAAUUCCGAGUGUAGAGGUGAAAUUCGUAGA